Molecule: unclassified non-coding RNA, 1107 nt
Filed under: Hevea brasiliensis (rubber tree)
Lineage: Eukaryota; Viridiplantae; Streptophyta; Magnoliopsida; Malpighiales; Euphorbiaceae
Source: RNAcentral
GGAUCCUCCUCAUGUAUCAAAGUCUUAAAAGGCUUUUUUGUACUAUAAAGGAGCAAAUGAACCCACCAAUUUCUUAACCAAUCUUCCCCUUAAUUUUCCACUCAACAAUUGCUUUUCUAAGUUCCUCUCUCAUUUCUCAACCCCAAAAGGCAUGGAUUUCUUCCACACCCAAAGGCAAAGCCAACAAAAACGCCAACCAAAGCAUAGCGACAAAAGGAGGCUAACAGAAGACCAAGUGAGGCUUCUAGAGAGAACAUUCACCACCAACAAGAAGCUUGAGCCUGAGCUCAAGCUCCAACUAGCAAGCCAACUAGGUGUGCCUCCAAGACAAGUUGCCAUUUGGUACCAAAACAAGAGAGCAAGAUGGAAGACACAGAGCUUGGAGCUUGACUACAAUACACUCCAAGUGAAGCUAGAAAACGCAUUGGCUGACAAAAGGAGAUUAGAGAAAGAAGUGAUUCAGCUUAGAGACGAGCUAAGAAAGGCUCAAGAAAUGGUGUUUGCUCUCAGCCAAGGGAUGGUUCCUUCUCAUCCUCAUCAUCUUCAUCCUGCUCUUCCGCUUCCUCCUCCUCUUAUUGUUUCUUGCAACUCUUCUUGUGAUGAAGGAGGUAGCUCUAGCUUGCAUGAAGAAGUGAAUGGUGAGUUUUUGCAACUUGAUGAGCUCUAUGCUUGUUUGAUUGGCUCUGGUGGUGGUGGAUCAGCGUGGGAUUAGUGGGUUCUUGGCCAAAUUAAAAUAUUGUUCUUUUUUGUCCUAGAAAAACAAGUUCUUGGGGCCAUGGUUGUGUACUGCUUGGAAUUGAAUUAAGAAGUCUCUUGAGAUUUUGGCUGGAUAAUUGAGUAGGUGGUGUAUUGAUAUUGAGUAGAAUGAAUUAAUGUUAAUGACCCUUGUGAAUUAAUGUUAAUUUUCACAGGUACUUACUAUUUACAACAGAUUUUGGAGCCCGGGGGCUCAAUUGUAACAUCAAUUCACUAGUCUACCCCUUACAUGUUGAAUAUGUAAUUAGACUGACAGUUAGUAGUUAAAUGCUUUUUCUUUUAUUGUACGGAAAGUUAAAAUUUAAAUCUUAAAUUUUUUUUUAUGUCAGAAAUUUUUAAAUAUAAUAAAAA